AUUUUUACUUUUUUUUGCUAGAUCUACACCUUAAUUUCUCUACCAAUGACUUCAUAUCCUCCACCAGGGUAUGGUGCACCACCACCACCACCAGGCGGAGGGUACUACCCUCCGCCACCAGGACCACCUAAUUAUCAAGGUUAUUUCAAUAACGAUCAAUGUUGUCCACCACCACCACCACCUCCUCAACAUAUUUACCACCACCACCACGAUGAUCAUCACCACCACCAUCACCACCAUAGUGGUUGUCUAUCAUUUCUUAGAGGCUGUUUGGCUGCUCUUUGCUGUUGCUGUAUUUUGGAAGAGUGCUGCUGCUGCUGCUUUUAGUUGGUUCCAAAUGUCAUGUGACUGUCAAAAUUGUUUUAUUUACUUUAUUUCUCAAAACUUUUUUAAGAAUUAAAGUUUGGCUGUGUGAGGAUUUUAUUUCUUUUGACUAUAUAUAUGUAUUUUUAAUUGGAGGCAAGUUUCUGUAUAAUAUGAUUAGGGGCAUUUGUUG
RNAcentral lists this unclassified non-coding RNA (496 nucleotides) under Hevea brasiliensis (rubber tree). Lineage: Eukaryota; Viridiplantae; Streptophyta; Magnoliopsida; Malpighiales; Euphorbiaceae. The record is from RNAcentral.